AUGUGAAUUAAUGCAGAUAGUGGAUGCCUAGGCUUAUCUGGCCGAGGAAGGACGCACACUCCGCGAAAGUCAACGGGGAACUGAGAAAAAGUUUUGAUCCGUUGGUAUCCGAAUUGAGUAAUCACGCUACCAGAGAUGGUAGUGGCCCUCAUUUUUAAUGAGGUGGGUAACCCCCCAAACUGAAAUAUCUAAGUAGGGGGAGGAAUAGAAAUCGUAAGAGAUUCCCUAAGUAAGCGACGAGCGAACAGGGAUCAGCCCAAACCAGAAUUUAUUCUGGGGUUGUAGGACCUCGAUAUUCGAUUUUCAUUUAUAGAAGAACACUGUGGAAUAAGUGACCAUAGAAGGUGAGAGUCCUGUAAACGAAAUAAAUGAAAGCGAUAGAGUGUUCCUGAGUAGACUGAGAGACGGCAAACUCUCUUUUGAAUCUGGGGUGACCACACUCCAAGGCUAAAUACCAGAUAAGACCGAUAGUGAACGAGUACCGUGAGGGAAAGGUGAAAAGAAGGGUCGAUGACCCCGUGAAAUAGAACCUGAAACCAUCUGCUAACAAUCAGACAAAGCCCAUUUACUGGGUAAUGUCGUGCCUAUUGAAGAAUGAGCCGGCGAGUAUUUGACAACUGCUUUAGGUUAAGGCAUUCCGUGCCGAAGCCGUAGUGAAAGCGAGCGUGAAUAGCGCGAUUUUGUAGUUGUUGAAUGACCCGAAACCGGGUGAGCUUACCAUGACCAGGAUGAAACCCGUUGAAUAAACGAGUGGAGGUCCGAACCGGUGAAUGCUGCAAGAUUCUCGGAUGAGUUGUGGUAAGAGGUAAUAUGCCAAUCGAACCCGGAGAUAGCUGGUUCUCCCUGAAAUAUAUUUAGGUAUAGGGUCGCGUGAAGUCAUGUGGGGGUAGAGCACUGAUCUGGUGUCUGGGGAUAAAACUCUAGCAUCUAGUCAAACUCCGAAUACCAUAUGAUGUUUCGCGGCACUCAGCACCUGGGAGCUAAGUUCCAGGAACAAAAGGAAAACAAACCAGACCAACAGCUAAGGUCUCAAAUUGUAUGUUUAGUGGGAAAGGAAGUGUUAUUCCGAAAACACCUAGGAGGUCGGCUCAGAAGCAGCCAUCCUUUAAAGAAAGCGUAACAGCUCACUAGCCGAGGAAUAGCGCGCCGAAAAUCCAACGAGGCUCAAACAUACAACCGAAGCUUUGGGUUUCACCAAGCAAUUGGUGGAGCGGUAAGGGAGCGUUCUGUGUGCAUUGAAGGUCAGCCGUAAGGACUGGCUGGAGCGAUCAGAAGUGAGAAUGCCGGCAUGAGUAGCGAAAUUGGGGUGAGAAUCCCCGACUCCGAAAGACCAAGGUUUCCGCACCCACGUUCGUCGUGUGCGGGUUAGACGACCCUAAGGUAAGCCCUCACCAAUGAGGGGUAGCCGAUGGAUUACUGGUUAAUAUUCCAGUUCUUGGUAUGAAUCAUUUGACUUGGGGAGGGACGGUUUUGGAUAACGUAUAAACAGUGGUGAAUAUUGUUUCAAAGCACUAAAGCAGUUUGGGUAGGCAAAUCCGCUCAAACAUUUAUCUGAGGUGUGAUAGGUCUUUAAUCCUUCGGGAAAGAAGAUAUGCGUGAUUUCAGAAUCCUGGAAAAGCUUCGCAAGGAGAUUUAUAUCAAAUCGUACCGAUAACCGACACAGGUGGUUGAGUCGAGAAGACUCAGGAGAGCGAGAGAAAGUAGUUUAAGGAAUUCGGCAAAACAACUGGGCGUAAUUUAGAGAGAUGCCCUCCUCUUUGAUCUUCGGAUUGAAGAGGCGCAGUUAAUGUCAUGGGGUUGACUGUUUACCAAAAACACAGGUCUGUGCAAACUCGUAAGAGGAAGUAUACGGGCUGAAGCCUGCCCAGUGCCGGAAGGUUAAGUGCGUGGGUCUUUUCAGAUUUAUCUGGAUCGGCUUGCAAUCGAAGCCCCGGUGAACGGCAGCAGUAACUAUAACUGUUCUAUGGUAGCGAAGUUCCUUGUCACUUAAUUGGUGACGCGCACGAAAGGUUUAACAAGCCCCAUACUGUCUUGAACUAUUACUCGGCGAAAUUGAAAUGGCUGUGAAGAUGCGGCCUACUGACAGCAGGACAAAAAGACCCCGUAGAGCUUUACUACAACUUGACACUGAUGAUGAAUCCGGAAUUGUUUAGGAUAGGCGGGAGAGACCUUCAUUUUGUUGGUUUCACCGGUGAAAUACCGCCCGUUUUGUUUUCAUUAUCUCACUUACUCUUACUGCAUACGUAAGAAAGGACACUGUUUGGUGGGUAGUUUAACUGGGGAGGUUGCUUGCUAAAGAGUAACGCAAGCGCGCAAUGGUACUCUUAGUCUGGAUAGAAAUCAGACGAGACGUGCAAUAGCAUAAGAGUGCUUUACUGUGAGGCAUACAGGCCGAGCAGUUGCGAAAGCAGGUUAUAGUGAUCCUCGUGUGUUUUGUGGAAGACACCGGGCUUAUCGGAUAAAAGUUACCUCGGGGAUAACAGAGUCAUCGCACCUAAGCGUCCCUAGCGUCGGUGCGGUUUGCUACCUCGAUGUCGGCUCAUCGCAUCCUGGGGCUGAAGAAGGUCCCAAGGGUUUGUCUGUUCGCCAAUUAAAGCGGUACGCGAGCUGGGUUCAGACCGUCGUGAGACAGGUCGGCCUCUAUCCGCUGUCAGCGUUAGAUAGUUGAGAGAGUUUGCUCCUAGUACGAGAGGACCGGAGUGAGAAAAUCCCUAGUGUUCCAGUUGUUACUGUCAAGUGCAUUGCUGGGUAGCUACAUUUUUUAUGGAUAAUCGCUGAAAGCAUCUAAGCGAGAAGCCAGUCUCAAGAUUAACUAUCUCCAUUAGACCCGUGAGAGAACAUCACGUUGAUAGGCAGUGAGUGCAAGUCUGGUGACAGAUUUAGCUUAACUGUACUAAGUGUUG
RNAcentral lists this ribosomal RNA (2903 nucleotides) under Patescibacteria group bacterium. RNAcentral's name for it is "23S ribosomal RNA". It matches the Rfam family "Bacterial large subunit ribosomal RNA". The record is from RNAcentral.